This 358-nucleotide ribosomal RNA is filed under the name uncultured bacterium. Its description in RNAcentral is "bacterial SSU rRNA". It matches the Rfam family "Bacterial small subunit ribosomal RNA", at positions 29 to 414 of the family's 1533-position model. The record is from RNAcentral.
AGCGAACGCUGGCGGCAGGCUUAACACAUGCAAGUCGAGCGCCCGUAGCAAUACGGGAGCGGCAGACGGGUGAGGAACACGUGGGAACGUACCCUUCAGUUCGGAACAACCCAGGGAAACUUGGGCUAAUACCGGAUAAGCCCUUACGGGGAAAGAUUUAUCGCUGAAGGAUCGGCCCGCGUCUGAUUAGCUAGUUGGUGAGGUAAUGGCUCACCAAGGCGACGAUCAGUAGCUGGUCGAGAGGAUGAUCAGCCACACUGGACUGAGACACGGCCCAGACUCCUACGGGAGGCAGCAGUGGGGAAUAUUGGACAAUGGGCGCAAGCCUGAUCCAGCCAUGCCGCGUGAGUGAUGAAGG